CCCAUCCCGUCACACGACCUCGCCACCCGGAAGACCACCCAUGGUGAGCCGCCGCCGAUCCACCCGCGCGAGGCGCCAUUGAUUAUCCCUCGGACACGCUGUUGUGCGCAGACACGCCCGCGACUCCCCGGCUCAUGCGCCGUCACGCCGACCACCUCCGGCCCUGACCUAGGGUUUGGUGGGCGAGCUCUUGAGAGCCGAUCUCACGCCGACCCGAGGUGAACCGCGUCCCAUCCAUCACCGGGGCUGGAUCCUAAGGGGCAGAGGUGCAAUCCUGCAGAGCUGCUGGAUCCGAAAAUUAAAGUUACUGUUGUUCAGGUGUGAUUGGCCCGACGGCAACUCGGGCUUGCUGAGAACUAAGAGGCAGCAGCAGGGGGGAGAGGGAAAUGGGGAAGCCUCUAUGCCAGCGUGAGCGACGGUUCCCCAACGAGGCAGGGUUGUUCGACAACAUGUCACCACCGAGCUGCUGCCGAGAUAAUACCGAUGCUCAAUCCCGAUCUGGAUGUCUCAUCUUUGAACAUUAGAAACGCUGAGAAGUCCAUGUAAGCUUGCCCAUGCUGGUUCCGCGCGACAUUAUAUCUCUGGACGUUCAUACUUCCACAGCUCUAGACAUGAACUUCCUGAUAUGGUAAUAAAAUUCUGGUGGAGAGACCUCCCAUAUUUAUUAGACUUGCUUGCUUUGGCAUGUUACUUCCUCUAAAUUUUAAAUAGGAUAUUCUUGGGAAUGAGAUGUAAUUUUAGGAAAUAAUUUGUAUUCAACACUUUAUUUUAUCCUGAAACUAUUGAUCUCUCUCUCUCUCUCUCUCUCUCUCUCUCUCUCUCUCUCUCUACGUACAUCUACAUAUAUCGCACCAGCUGUUCCAGGUAGAGUAGUAGUGGCCACAAAAUUUUACUGAAAUAAUCAUGCGAGAUUACCAAUGAAGAAAAUUCUAUAGAAGGAUAGAAUGCGGGUAUAGAUAUUAUAAUAUUUGGUGUCAGAUAUGUUUACUCAGAUGAUCCAAGAACUGAAUGAACCAUUGGAAUAAAAUACCUCUCUGUUGGCUUUAAAAAUUGUACAGUCAACAUGCUAAUAUUAUGAUUAUAUUAUCCGCCCUGAAACUAAACUUUGUUUGGUGGUUGAGCUAGCAAAGAUUGGGAUUUUGAUUUCUAACAUGCAUAUCUUGCUUUUCCUCCAUCUUACUAUAUGGUCUGUCCUUCCAUCCUAAUUCAGAAGCUUCACCCUUGGUCGAGGUGGCCGUUGUUUGUUUGCUUUUGUUUCUGUGUCAUCUCACAUAUCACAGUUUGCUACUUGCAAGUGUGAGUACUCUCUCUGAGCUGUAAGAUGCAACCCAAGACUGUAUUUGUGUUCUGUUGGGGCGUGAUCAUUGGAUGGUGGAUUAGGAUCAGUGCCUAACUAUGUCCCUAGGAUGUAUAUAAUUUGGAUUGCAUAGUUCAGUUUUGUAUCUCAGUCUAGAUUUGGAUUGAAAAUAAUUCCUUGCAAAAAUUGAUAUGUUAGGAAACAAGCAAAUGUGUAAGAUAUGUAGGUGCAAUCUUUUUUUGUAUAAGAUAACUGGUUUAUCUGUUUAGUUGAUCCUUACUGUCGGUUGUCCAUGACGGAAGUUUAUGUUACUGUCGAAAUUGAUUAAGUUGAGUUUUCUAAUGUUUGCCUCUUUCUAAUAUGAAUUAUCAGGUAAGGACUCCAGUCUAAAUGUAAUGUAUAGUUCUAGGCUAUGCAAAUAAAAUGAAGUACCUGCCUAUUUUGAGCGAAUGCCCUACUGGAUGCCAUUUCUUAAGUUACUUUGUACCUACAGAGAGCUCAUUAGUGGAUAAGUUCUAUGGUGCAUUGGGAUUAUAUGUAGGAAGAAUAAAUGGCUUGAUUAAAUUGAGGAAACACUUUUACUGGAUGCUUAUGAAACUUAAAUGGCAACUACAGUAUAAAAGGAACAAAGAUCAAUGCCUGCAUACGGAUCAGUGACGAUGAAUGUAGGAGUAUUAAUUUCACCUCUAUUUGCCAUGGAUGCUUAUGGAUCGGAGUCUGUUGGAUUAGUAUAAACAUUACACAUGUUGCCAUUCCUUGCUUAAUAAACAUGCACGUUCUGCUCAAAGUCCUAAUGCACUGAGUGCAUGGUGUUUUGCUUUAGCCUUAGUCUUUUGUUCGGUAAUUGAUUACUUAGAGAGCCACAAGCUGCUUCUCCCUUAAACAAAAUGACACUUCGUAUAAUUGAUUACUCAGAGAGCCACAAGCGCAAGGAAAUCUUAACAUCCAGUUGGGUAUUGCAGAGUGUGGUUUUCUGUAGCUCAGGCUACACGGUACCCCUUAUCUUUGCCAUCCAUUUCUGCAUCGCGAUCCGUGCAGACGCAUUUGUCUUUUUUGUUUUUCUCAAACGACACAACAUAUAAACUUCAAAUUUUGCAGAACAACAAUACAUUCUAACUACAAUCUGGGAAAAAACUUUCAGAUUUUUUCAUGCAUUUUAAAUACUUAAAAUAAUAUUUUUAGUCAAACAAAAUCUCAUUUUCUAUAUUUAUAUCAGACCAAAAAAUCUGAAAGUUUUUUCACACAUUGAUGUUCUAAUGUUUGUUCGAUCUGCAAAGUUUGAAGUUCAUAUGUUGUUUCAUUUUAGAGAAAGAGAAAAGAGAAAUCUUCUUGUUGUAAGUUAGUUGGAGAGUACGGAUCUCAAAGCAAGGCUGAAGGGUUGAGGAUAAGAGGUUCCAUGUAGCCUGUGCUACAAAGGAACUUUGUGUUCCAAGAAGUAACAAUUUUAGAAGACCUAUACAUGAGUUGGACAUAUUAUUCCCACAGUCAUUAAUUUCUGCAUUCCAAUAUUUCUGUUAGUUUCAGGUACGAUCCACUAACUGCUUUGGUGUUUAUUUAGGGUUUGAAAAACAUUCUGGACCACCGCAUUGUUCAAAGUAUGGAGUGAUUUGUAUACUUCGAUAGAAAAAUUUACAGAUGGUUAGCUUUUUCGAGUAUUCCGAUUCGUAGUAGUCUGGAGGGAAUUCACUUAUAUAUUUGUGGUGCAUAAUUGUCAUGAUUCUUUCACCUAUCCAGUCGAUCAUCGCUCACCAUAGCCGCAGCUGCUCUGUGUCGCUGUUCCUCAGCCAAGAUCGCGCCUCGGCCACCAAGUCGUCACCACUGGGAAUCCCACAUUUCUCGAGGACCAAAUUGGGUGCUGUUUUUCUACUCAAUUCUGCUCCUGAUGGUUUUGUGAUUGACCAACGUGGUGGAAAGGGCAACGUACGCCAAGGCGCACUCCCCUCUCUCCCCCUCUUCACAUGUACUCUUUUCCUGAUUUAGAUCUUUCUCAACAUCUCAUGCCACGAGUCAAAAUGAGUAGCACUAUUCAUGUACAUUCUAAUCAUGCGCAUUAGCUUUGCUGGGUAGUAAUGAUUAUAGAUCCUUAUUUCUGCAUGUUUUAGACCAUGUUCGGAGACCCGCCACUGCACCACUCCGCUCCCGGAGCUGGAGUUAAAAAGCACGGAGCUGGGAAAUAGAUGCUUCACAGCUCCUCGUAUUUUUAGGAGCUGGAGUGACUCCGAGCAGGGCCUUAGUUUCCUGUUGUGCAGUUUGCUGUGGUGGCAUUAAUUCAUAUAAUAAGUUAAUAAUCAUGCCAUGAGUGACUAUGGGGCACUAGCACUAAGAGCCUUAUUUUUUUCCUUCUGUUCUUCACUAAUAUAUUCUUCUUAAUUAGUUUCUUUAAUUACCAAUAUAGGCCUUUAAUUUGUGUGCACCUAAUAUUAAAUCCUGAACAAAGUGAAAUUAUGUAGUGUUCAAAAUUAUAAAGUGUACUUAAUUGCACAUAAUGUGCCUUAUGGAAGAACUGAGCACCCAUAUUUUGUACUUAGAAUUUAGAACUAUACUUUGGUUGGUUUGGUUUAGUAAUACUACUUGAGGCAUCCUUUUGAAAAUAUAUGUAAGAAGACCCGAAUACUCAUUCAAAGUGUUUUUGUAUUAACAUUCAUAUAUAUAUGUAGCUCUGAUAAGUGUUGGUGGGUUUAGUUUUUCAAUACUAUAGAUGAUGUUUUCUUUAUAGAAUAAGAUGGAACUAAACAUAUCCAAAGUAACAUUUAGAAUUACUCAACUCUGACAAGCUUCGACAGCUUUACCUUUAUAAUACUCCCUCCGUCCCAAAAUAAGUGUCGCUGAUUCUACAACUUUAUACUAAAUCAGCGACACUUAUUUUGAGAGGAGGGAGUACCAUAGAGUUGAUCGUGCCUUCUUAUAAUAGCAUUCAGACUACCAUAUUUCCUCUUUGAUAAGCUUACGAGAACAAUCUUCAGCCUUUUAUUUAAUCUAAUAGAAGAAUAAAAUAGAGUGAGUGAUCACUUACAUGUUCAUAAUCUUAAGGGUAGAAGCAAUAAUCUGCAGAAGGAACUAUAUGUUAUAAUCUGCAGAAGGAACUAUAUGUUUUGAGGAGGCGGAGUCACGCGCGAGAGCAUGAGGUGUUCGCACCUGGUGACUUUCUUGAGACAAGCACAAGAGCAUAAGGAUCAUGGCAUGUCCUUGCGGUUUUCAUUCCCAUGACUGUGCCAUUCGCGUUUGUACAGGUGUAUCCUGCUCUUGCUUUCUUACCGUCGAGGAGAUGGAUAGAUAUAGAUUCUAGUAUUUCUCGGUUCGCUAUACAGAGAUGGAGCUUGCAAAACACAUUAAUUUACCGGCCGAUGGCCUGUGGGCUGAACUCGUGUGUGGAUGCGCAACUGGGCAAGUCCGUCUGAUGAAAGGUGUGGACGGAAGAGCGACAAUAACUACGAGGUUGGUCAAAGAUUGAAAGAAAUCUCUUAUGUGUCUUCGGCUUCGACACUAUGCAUAGGAAGCCGUUGUUGAUAAACCAAUCUUUGAGAAGGUUCAUGUGGUGUGGCGUAUGGAAGGUUGAAUGUCAAGGCGAUCAGGUGGAUCUAUCAAAAAAAUAUGCUUGUGUGGAACUACAUAUGUUCUUUGUUGCUGCUGUGGCUUGAUUUUGCCGUAUGAAAAGUAUAUUGUCUGUAUCAAACUUGAUGUGGAUUGACGAAUGGUUCUACUGACAAAAUUCCUCAUGGUUGCUUUGCAUUUGCUACAUGUAUUUGCCUUCCCUUCUGCCAUGACUUUGAUAAAUGAUCAUAUACGAAGUUGCAAUAAUAUUGUGGUUUGUUUA
This is a non-coding RNA of Aegilops tauschii subsp. strangulata, 5111 nucleotides long. NCBI's taxonomy places the organism in Eukaryota, Viridiplantae, Streptophyta, Magnoliopsida, Poales, Poaceae. The record is from RefSeq and is a predicted model, not a curated record.